CUAAUAUAGUGAAGCUAUAUUAUUCGAAUUUAUUCGAAAGCUAACGGGGUGAACUGAAACAUCUAAGUAACCCUAGGAAAAGAAAACAAUAGUGAUUCCCUAAGUAGUGGCGAGCGAACAGGGAAUAGCCCAAACCAAUUUUGUUACGGCAAGAUUGGGGUUGUAGGACUGCAUCGUGGAGAAGUAUAUGAUAGUGGAAAGAUUUUGGAAAAGUCUGCCACAGAGGGUGAAAGCCCCGUACACGAAAUUAUAUAUCAUCCUAGCAGUAUCCUGAGUAGGGCGGGGCCGGUGAAACCCUGUCUGAAUCUAGCGGCACCAUCCGCUAAGGCUAAAUACUCCUGAGAGACCGAUAGUGAACCAGUACCGUGAGGGAAAGGUGAAAAGCACCCUGAACAAGGGAGUGAAAUAGAACCUGAAACCGUGCGCCUACAAGCGGUCGGAGCUGCAUUUAUGUAGUGACGGCGUGCCUUUUGCAUAAUGAGCCUACGAGUUACUCCUCUCUGGCCAGAUUAAUUGACAUAAGUCAAGUAGUCGUAGCGAAAGCGAGUCUGAAUAGGGCGAAAAAGUCAGGGGGGGUAGACGCGAAACUUUGUGAUCUACCCAUGACCAGGUUGAAGGUCCGGUAACACGGACUGGAGGACCGAACCAGUUGACGUUGAAAAGUCUUUGGAUGAGUUGUGGGUAGGGGUGAAAGGCUAAUCAAACUGAGAGAUAGCUCGUACUCCCCGAAAUGUAUUUAGGUACAGCCUCGUGUUAAGUGUUAUAGAGGUAGAGCUACUGAUUGGACUAGGGGGCUUCACCGCCUGCCAAAUCCUGACAAACUCCGAAUGCUAUAACAUGUUUCACGGGAGUGAGGCCAUGGGUGCUAAGGUCCGUGGCCGAGAGGGAAAGAACCCAGACCAUCUGCUAAGGUCCCCAAAUUUAUGUUAAGUUGAUCUAACGAGGUUUGAUUGCAGUGACAGCUAGGAUGUUGGCUUGGAAGCAGCCAUUCAUUUAAAGAGUGCGUAACAGCUCACUAGUCGAGCGAUCGAGCGUGGAUGAUAAUCGGGCAUUAAACAUAAUACCGAAGCAAUGGAAUUGUAAUUUAUUACAAUUGGUAGGGGAGCAUUCCAGUCAGCGUCGAAGCUGUAGCGCGAGCUAUGGUGGAGCGUCUGGAAAAGCAAAUGUAGGCAUAAGUAACGAUAAUGCGGGCGAGAAACCCGCACACCGUAAGACUAAGGAUUCCUGAUCAACGCUAAUCGGAUCAGGGUUAGUCGGGACCUAAGGCGAACCCGAAAGGGGUAGUCGAUGGACAAUCGGUUAAUAUUCCGAUACUAGUUAUUAUUGUGAUGGGGUGACGGAGUAGUGAAAGUCCCGCGUGCUGACGGAAUAGUACGUUGAACACUGUAGGUAUAGAGACGGUAGGCAAAUCCGCCGACUCUGCUGAAGGUGGAUAGUACCGCAAGUCUUCGGAUGAGCGGAUAGUGGACCUAAUCAGACUUCCAAGAAAAACCUCUAAACUUCAGAUAAUAACUACCCGUACCGUAAACCGACACAGGUAGUCGAGGAGAGUAUCCACAGGUGCUCGAGUGAUUCAUGGCUAAGGAACUAGGCAAAUUAACCCCGUAACUUCGGGAGAAGGGGAGCCAUCUUCGGAUGGCCGCAGAGAAAUGGCCCAGGCGACUGUUUAUCAAAAACAUAUGGCUUUGCUAAAUUUAACGAUGAUGUAUAAGGCCUGACACCUGCCCGGUGCUGGAAGGUUAAGUGGAGAUGUUAUCACCCUCGGGUGAGAAGCUUUGAAAUGAAGCCCCAGUAAACGGCGGCCGUAACUAUAACGGUCCUAAGGUAGCGAAAUUCCUUGUCGGGUAAGUUCCGACCUGCACGAAUGGUGUAACGAUUUGGGCACUGUCUCGGCCAUGAGCUCGGUGAAAUUGAAGUAUCGGUGAAGAUGCCGGUUACCCGCAACGGGACGGAAAGACCCCGUGAACCUUUACUAUAGCUUAACAUUGAUUUUGGGUAAACGAUGUGUAGGAUAGGU
Molecule: ribosomal RNA, 2017 nt
Filed under: uncultured bacterium
Lineage: Bacteria
Description: bacterial LSU rRNA
Rfam family: Bacterial large subunit ribosomal RNA
Source: RNAcentral